GCGCGCGCAGCGGGCCGGCAGUGGCGGCGGAGAUGGAGGAGGGAGGCCGGGACAAGGCACCGGUGCAGCCCCAGCAGUCUCCAGCGGCGGCCCUCGGCGGCACGGACGAGAAGCCGAGCGGCAAGGAGCGGCGGGAUGCCGGGGACAAGGACAAAGAACAGGAGCUGUCUGAAGAGGAUAAACAGCUUCAAGAUGAACUGGAGAUGCUCGUGGAACGACUAGGGGAGAAGGACACAUCCCUGUAUCGGCCAGCGCUGGAGGAAUUGCGAAGGCAGAUUCGUUCUUCUACAACUUCCAUGACUUCAGUGCCCAAGCCUCUCAAAUUUCUGCGUCCACACUAUGGCAAACUGAAGGAAAUCUAUGAGAACAUGGCCCCUGGGGAGAAUAAGCGUUUUGCUGCUGACAUCAUCUCUGUUUUGGCCAUGACCAUGAGUGGGGAGCGCGAAUGCCUCAAGUAUCGGCUAGUGGGCUCCCAGGAGGAAUUGGCAUCAUGGGGUCAUGAGUAUGUCAGACACUGGAUUCCUUGACCCACAGAGAAGUGCUUCCCCUGAAGCUGUGCUCUCUUAAUCUUCUGGGCCUAUCUGUAGGCAUCUGGCAGGAGAAGUGGCUAAGGAGUGGCAGGAGCUGGAUGACGCAGAGAAGGUCCAGCGGGAGCCUCUGCUCACUCUAGUGAAGG
This 676-nucleotide small RNA is filed under the name Pongo abelii (Sumatran orangutan). RNAcentral describes it as "processed transcript". The record is from RNAcentral. Lineage: Eukaryota; Metazoa; Chordata; Mammalia; Primates; Hominidae.